UGGAGAGCUCAAUAUGCACAGGCACU
RNAcentral lists this non-coding RNA (26 nucleotides) under Rattus norvegicus (Norway rat). Lineage: Eukaryota; Metazoa; Chordata; Mammalia; Rodentia; Muridae. The record is from RNAcentral.